GAAACAGUGGCUAAGACUGGAUAGGAAGAUAAAAGGCAUCUUUUAUCUUUUAAAAGACCUAGUAAUAGGUAUGCUUUAGGAGGGGCUUGCGCCAUAUUAGUUAGUUGGUAGGGUAAUGGCCUACCAAGACGAUGAUGUGUAGCUGGACUGAGAGGUUGAACAGCCACAUUGGGACUGAGACACGGCCCAAACUCCUACGGGAGGCAGCAGUAGGGAAUUUUCGGCAAUGGAGGAAACUCUGACCGAGCAACGCCGCGUGAAUGACGAAGUACUUCGGUAUGUAAAGUUCUUUUAUCAAGGAAGAAAAGCAAAUGGCGAACCAUUUGUUUGCCGGUACUUGAUGAAUAAGCCCCGGCUAAUUAUGUGCCAGCAGCCGCGGUAAGACAUAAGGGGCAAGUGUUAUCCGGAAUUAUUGGGCGUAAAGGGUGCGUAGGCGGUCUAGUAAGUCAGUGGUGUAAUGGCAACGCUUAACGUUGUCCGGCUAUUGAAACUGCUAAACUUGAGUUAGAUAGAGGCGAGUGGAAUUCCAUGUGUAGCGGUAAAAUGCGUAAAUAUAUGGAGGAACACCAGAGGCGUAGGCGGCUCGCUGGGUCUUAACUGACGCUGAGGCACGAAAGCGUGGGGAGCAAACAGGAUUAGAUACCCUGGUAGUCCACGCCGUAAACAAUGAGUACUAAGUGUCGCGAUAAAUCGGUACUGAAGUUAACACAUUAAGUACUCCGCUUGAGUAGUACGUACGCAAGUAUGAAACUUAAAGGAAUUGACGGGACUCCGCACAAGCGGUGGAUCAUGUUGUUUAAUUCGAAGAUACCCGAAAAACCUUACCAGGUCUUGACAUGUUUUUGCGAAACGGUAGUAAUAUCGUAGAGGUUAUCAGAAACACAGGUGGUGCAUGGUUGUCGUCAGCUCGUGUCGUGAGAUGUUAGGUUAAGUCCUAAAACGAGCGAAACCCUUAUCGUUAGUUGCCAGCACGUUAUGGUGGGGACUUUAACGAGACUGCCAGUGAUAAACUGGAGGAAGGUGAGGAUCACGUCAAAUCAGCAUGCCCCUUAUGACCUGGGCUACAAACGUGAUACAAUGGCUGUUACAAAGGGUAGCUGAAACGUAAGUUCUUGGCCAAUCCCCAAAAACAGUCUCAGUCCGGAUUGAAGUCUGCAACUCGACUUCAUGAAGUUGGAAUCGCUAGUAAUCGCGAAUCAGCAUGUCGCGGUGAAUACGUUCUCGGGGUUUGUACACACCGCCCGUCA
Molecule: ribosomal RNA, 1247 nt
Filed under: Candidatus Phytoplasma citri
Lineage: Bacteria; Bacillati; Mycoplasmatota; Mollicutes; Acholeplasmatales; Acholeplasmataceae
Description: bacterial SSU rRNA
Rfam family: Bacterial small subunit ribosomal RNA
Source: RNAcentral